AAGGUUUGGUCCUAGCCCUUCUAUUAGCCAUCAGUAGGAUUACACAUGCAAGUAUCAGCACCCCGGUGAAAACGCCCUUUUAAUCAUCAGUGAUAAAAAGGAGCGGGUAUCAAGCACACUGUACAAGUAGCUAAAGACACCUCGCCUAGCCACACCCCCACGGGAUACAGCAGUGACAAAAAUUAAGCCAUGAACGAAAGUUUGACUAAGCCAUACUGACCCAUAGGGUUGGUAAAUUUCGUGCCAGCCACCGCGGUCAUACGAUUAACCCAAGUUAAUAGAUAUACGGCGUAAAACGUGUUAAGGAAGCCACUCACCCAAUAAAGUUAAAUCUUAGACUAUGCUGCAGAAAGCUUUAGCCCAGAUAAAAAUAAACCACGAAGGUGACUUUAAACAAUCCGAUCACACGAUAGCUAAGACACAAACUGGGAUUAGAUACCCCACUAUGCUUAGCCCUAAACCUAAGUAGCCUAAACAACGAUGCUACUCGCCAGAGUACUACUAGCAACAGCUUAAAACUCAAAGGACUUGGCGGUGCUUUACAUCCCUCUAGAGGAGCCUGUUCUGUAAUCGAUAAACCCCGAUAAACCUCACCAACUCUUGCUAAUACAGCCUAUAUACCGCCAUCUUCAGCAAACCCUAAAAAGGAAACAAAGUAAGCAAAACCAUGAAACAUAAAAACGUUAGGUCAAGGUGUAGCCUAUGAGUUGGAAAGAAAUGGGCUACAUUUUCUAGCAUAGAAUAUCAACGAAAAUUUUCGUGAAACCGAAAAUAGAAGGAGGAUUUAGUAGUAAAUUAAGAAUAGAGAGCUUAAUUGAAUAAGGCCAUGAAGCACGCACACACCGCCCGUCACCCUCCUCGAGUAUAAAGAUACAAAUACUUAACCCUAUUAAUAAAUGUACACGCAUAUGAGAGGAGAUAAGUCGUAACAAGGUAAGCGUACUGGAAAGUGCGCUUG
This 958-nucleotide non-coding RNA is filed under the name Pteropus hypomelanus (small flying fox). Its description in RNAcentral is "partial 12S ribosomal RNA". It matches the Rfam family "Bacterial small subunit ribosomal RNA". Lineage: Eukaryota; Metazoa; Chordata; Mammalia; Chiroptera; Pteropodidae. The record is from RNAcentral.